Molecule: long non-coding RNA, 602 nt
Organism: Calliphora vicina (urban bluebottle blowfly)
Lineage: Eukaryota; Metazoa; Arthropoda; Insecta; Diptera; Calliphoridae
Exons: 2
Source: RefSeq, a predicted model, not a curated record
AAUUGAAACAACAAUAUAUAACGUGUUUAAAACUGAUCUUCAGAAAUAAUUAUUUGGAACAAAAUAAUGUAUUUCACAAAACUAUUUUUCAUUGUGGUUAUUGCCAUUACUUUGUUUUUGAACUUCUCGGAAGCUGGACAAGCUGCCGCGAAAAUGGGUAAAGAAGCGACCAAAUUAGCUGGUAAUGCUUUAAAAAAAAACUCUAAGACUGCAGGAACAGUAGCAGGAGUAGGUGUUGCUGUCAAUUCAACUGCGAAUGUCAAUUAUAAGAAUAAAUCUGAAGCCAGAUCCAGAUCCAGCUCUCCCAGCGGAAGUAAAUCGAAAAGUGGUUAAUUUUUUUUAGUAAUGUUCAUUACCAUGAUACAAUAAUUGUAGAAGGUAGAAUCACUAGGGAGAGUUUUCAAUAUUUAGUUCUAUAACGUCAAACUUUGAUUUUUUUUUUAUAUUUUUUUUAUAUUUUCUUUUGUUUGACGUUACAAGAAUUGUAUAAUUGAGAAUUUAUUUUCUACUGAGUGUACCUUAUAUUGUUGUAUCAUGGUUCAUAAUAUGUAAAACAAUAAGAUAAUUGAUUAAAUGAAGAACAACUGAGUCUUUAAAAUAUA